RNAcentral lists this ribosomal RNA (467 nucleotides) under uncultured bacterium. RNAcentral's name for it is "partial 16S ribosomal RNA". It matches the Rfam family "Bacterial small subunit ribosomal RNA", at positions 28 to 506 of the family's 1533-position model. The record is from RNAcentral.
GACGAACGCUGGCGGCGUGCUUAACACAUGCAAGUCGAACGGAAAGGCCCUGCUUUUGUGGGGUGCUCGAGUGGCGAACGGGUGAGUAACACGUGAGUAACCUGCCCUUGACUUUGGGAUAACUUCAGGAAACUGGGGCUAAUACCGGAUAGGAGCUCCUGCUGCAUGGUGGGGGUUGGAAAGUUUCGGCGGUUGGGGAUGGACUCGCGGCUUAUCAGCUUGUUGGUGGGGUAGUGGCUUACCAAGGCUUUGACGGGUAGCCGGCCUGAGAGGGUGACCGGCAAAAUGGGGACGAGAUUACGGCCCGAACUCCACGGGGAGGAAGAAUGGGGGAAAAUUCACCAAGGGGGGAAGGCCGAAGGCAGAACCGCGGGGUGGGGGAUGAGGGCCUUCGGGUUGAAACCGGCUUUCCCCGGGAAGGAAGGGUGGGUGAGGGAAAGGGGUAAAAAGGAACCGGCAAAUAACGG